UACAAAAACCCACAACACAACGGAAGUUAUCCCACAACGGAAAUUUAUGGCAGAGGAAAGGGCUCUGGUUGUGGACUUUAGUUGCCAUGGUAACGCGCGCAUAGAAGAAGACUGUGGGAAGUUGCACUCGUCUGCUUGGCAUGCUGGAUUCACCGAGUCUGAUUUGUUCUGGUUACUUGUUCGACAAGUAUGCAUAGGCCUGUCAUGGGAGGUGGAAAAAUGGCCAGCAGGAAGGUGUGCAGCAGCCACUGGAAUGACCUCUUCCACCUCCUCCACUAACAGCUCCUCAUCAGCCGGCAGUGGGAUGUGAUCCUGAAGGGCCAUGUUGUGCAGAAGCGCCGUCACCAAAACUACACUGCACGCCUUUGCAGGAUGGAGCUUCAGGACCACCAGCGCACCAGUGGAUUUGCUCACACACCUAAAGCGUCGUUUCCACAUGCCCAGGGCCCUCUCCACAACAACA
Alosa alosa (allis shad) is the source of this 463-nucleotide long non-coding RNA. RefSeq lists it as uncharacterized. The transcript has 3 exons. NCBI's taxonomy places the organism in Eukaryota, Metazoa, Chordata, Actinopteri, Clupeiformes, Clupeidae. The record is from RefSeq and is a predicted model, not a curated record.